RNAcentral lists this ribosomal RNA (463 nucleotides) under uncultured bacterium. RNAcentral's name for it is "partial 16S ribosomal RNA". It matches the Rfam family "Bacterial small subunit ribosomal RNA", at positions 28 to 507 of the family's 1533-position model. The record is from RNAcentral.
GAUGAACGCUGACAGAAUGCUUAACACAUGCAAGUCUUUGGCGAAGCUGUGCUUGCACAGCCUAGCCAAGGCGGACGGGUGAGUAACGCGUAAGGAACUUGCCCUGCAGUCAGGGAUAACAGACGGAAACGACUGAUAAGACCUGGUAAAGUCAGGCGGACUCAUGUCCAGCCUGAUGAAAAGAGAUGCUGCAGGAGAGCCUUGCGUCCUAUUAGCUUGUUGGUGGGGUAACGGCCCACCAAGGCGAUGAUAGGUAGCCGGCCUGAGAGGGUGGACGGCCACAAGGGGACUGAGAUACGGCCCUUACUCCUACGGGAGGCAGCAGUGGGGAAUAGUGGACGAUGGGGGCAACCCUGAUCCAGCAAUUCUGUGUGCACGAUGAAGGUUUUCGGAUUGUAAAGUGCUUUCAGCAGGGAAGAAAAAAAUGACGGUACCUGCAGAAGAAGCGACGGCUAAAUACGUG